GGGAAAUAAUGAAUGAAGAAGAAAUAAAGGGUAGUUGCGGGAGGCCCUGAGCCUAAGGGGAGGGGCCUUAAGGAGGGCAAAGAGCAGCUCACCCGCUGAAGACGGGCAGCAGAGGUCAGAACCUCAGGGGGUGAGCUGCUGCUGGUGGGAGGGCCUCAAGGUCUUCAGCAGCAUGGCCUUGGCUUGCAGGCAGCGAACAGACGUCCAAAUCCCAAUGUUUCUUUGUUGAGCACGGGCUCACGCUGCAGCGGAACCCUCGGAGUAUGGGGUGGUGCCACGGGGAAGCCAUCUUACAGGAAGAGAAAGACAAGAUGGUGGAGGAAGCCGCUAGGAAAGCUCUUCUCUAUGGCUCAGUGUUCUGUAGAAGAUGGAAGUAAAAUGGGUGCGUGUGGACUCUGCCGUUAGCCUGCCUGGGACUUUGUCACCGUCAGUCACCGUGGCGACUGUGACAGCCUCUGAGACCAGUUAGGCCACAAGAACACAGCGGUCUCCCCAGCUCCCGCCCACCUUCAGAUGGCACUCAUUCACGCAGCAAAGUGGACGUGCCUGCCCAGACAGCCGGAGUGAAGAUAGUUCCUGGGCCCGAGGGAGAAAAGCCCCACCAUCUCUGGGACAUUGUCGCAGGCCUGGGGGAAUUCCAAGGUGAAAGUUCCAGAGGCGGGCUGCUCUGACCCACUGCUGUUUAAGGACACAGGUUCCUUGCAAGUCUUUGCUCUGUCCUCCGCCGUCGCUGACUCCCCGGAAUACUUGUCAUCUGCACGGUUGAAGGUGGUUAUGCGCACAUCCAAGUUCAAGGGGAACACGGCGAAUGGCUGUGAAGCCACUGCCCGUAUCUCAAGCCUGAGAGGUACCUGUGACUUACGUCUCUCUGUGUAUUCUCCUCUCUGCCAGCCAGCGUCUUCCGCCAAGAGUAGCCAGCAUUCUGGGCCUUGA
This 933-nucleotide long non-coding RNA is filed under the name Felis catus (domestic cat). Its description in RNAcentral is "lncRNA (ENSFCAG00000042482.2)". Lineage: Eukaryota; Metazoa; Chordata; Mammalia; Carnivora; Felidae. The record is from RNAcentral.